This 155-nucleotide non-coding RNA is filed under the name Streptomyces sp. The record is from RNAcentral. Lineage: Bacteria; Bacillati; Actinomycetota; Actinomycetes; Kitasatosporales; Streptomycetaceae.
GGCAUUCGCACUGCGUGGUGGACUGCCCGAGCCAAUACGGCGGCAUGGAGAGGAAGUCCGGUGCGAAUCCGGCGCGGUCCCGCCACUGUCACCGGGGAGCACCCGCCGCGCGGGUGCCCCGGGAGCCAGGAACUCUCGCCGCCGGACACGUCGAA